AAUUUUGGACAAUGGGGGAAACCCUGAUCCAGCCAUCCCGCGUGUAUGAUGAAGGCCUUCGGGUUGUAAAGUACUUUUGGCAGAGAAGAAAAGGUAUUUCCUAAUACGAGAUACUGCUGAUGCAAUCUGCAGAUUAGGCACCGCCCACCUACUUUCCAGCAGCCGCGGUAAUCGGAAGGGUGCAAGCGUUAAUCGGAAUUACUGGGCGUAAAGCGUGUGUAGGCGGUUCGGGAAGAAAGAUGUGAAAUCCCAGGGCUCAACCUUGGAACUGCAUUUUUAACUGCCGAGCUAGAGUAUGUCAGAGGGGGGUAGAAUCCCACAUGUAGCAGUGGAAUGCGUAGAUAUGUGGAGGAAUACCGAUGGCGAAGGCAGCCCCCUGGGAUAAUACUGACGCUCAGACACGAAAGCGUGGGGAGCAAACAG
This 423-nucleotide ribosomal RNA is filed under the name uncultured bacterium. RNAcentral's name for it is "partial 16S ribosomal RNA". It matches the Rfam family "Bacterial small subunit ribosomal RNA", at positions 360 to 775 of the family's 1533-position model. The record is from RNAcentral.